Molecule: small RNA, 554 nt
Filed under: Histoplasma capsulatum
Lineage: Eukaryota; Fungi; Ascomycota; Eurotiomycetes; Onygenales; Ajellomycetaceae
Also listed under: 1 other name
Description: hypothetical RNA
Source: RNAcentral
UGCCUGUAAUAUUUCCGUAUCAUUGACCGCCAUCGACGUGACGCGCUGCAUAUAACUUAGAGAAGCGGGGAAGAAGGUUCGAUGAGACGAUGGCACGAUGCGACGAUAGGGAAUCGCGAGCAUAAAUUUCCAUGUUUCCAUGUUUUUUUGCUCCGUGGAGUGUAUGUGCUGGACAAGCCCGCAUUUUGGGGAGGGGAAAUUGUUUCCGCCAAUCUACGGAUGUUUGUGUGCGAUAGUUGCCUGGGGAGCCUGGAGAUCGUGCUGAUCUGGGGAGAUUGAAUGAGAUGAUGAUAUAAUCGUCGAUGAUGACGAUGUGACUGGUGGGUGGGUGAUAGUUAGCAAGGAACCCCUCGUUAUCGCAAGACAUUUAAACCCAUCAUGAACGGGAACUAUUGCAGAGGUGCUUCAAUAAUGUUGGUCAAUAAUAGUAUAGGAGAGAUAGUAUGGUACUGCUCGUGCGAUUACCAGAGAUACUUGUUCACUCCAUCACGCAGUUACAGUUAUUAAUUUAACUAUUCUCAGAUCGAUCCUGUUUCAUCUUGCGCUACCACCAC